UGGGGAAUAUUGCACAAUGGGCGCAAGCCUGAUGCAGCAACGCCGCGUGAGGGACGACGGCCUUCGGGUUGUAAACCUCUUUUGGCAGGGAAGAAGCGAAAGUGACGGUACCUGCAGAAAAAGCACCGGCUAACUACGUGCCAGCAGCCGCGGUGAUACGUAGGGUGCAAGCGUUGUCCGGAUUCACUGGGUUUAAAGGGUGCGUAGGUGGGUAUGUAAGUCAGUGGUGAAAUCCCCGAGCUUAACUUGGGAACUGCCAUUGAUACUAUAUAUCUUGAAUACCGUAGAGGUAAGCGGAAUAUGUCAUGUAGCGGUGAAAUGCUUAGCUAUGAAAUGGAACACCAAUUGCGAAGGCAGCUUACUAUGCAGUGAUUGACA
Molecule: ribosomal RNA, 378 nt
Filed under: uncultured bacterium
Lineage: Bacteria
Description: bacterial SSU rRNA
Rfam family: Bacterial small subunit ribosomal RNA
Source: RNAcentral